Molecule: ribosomal RNA, 167 nt
Filed under: Plasmodium gaboni
Lineage: Eukaryota; Apicomplexa; Aconoidasida; Haemosporida; Plasmodiidae
Description: 5.8S ribosomal RNA
Rfam family: 5.8S ribosomal RNA (bases 54-167)
About the family: 5.8S ribosomal RNA (5.8S rRNA) is a component of the large subunit of the eukaryotic ribosome.
Source: RNAcentral
UUUUUUUUAUAAGACUUGUUUUGUUUGACUUAAUGUUAAUUUAUAAACACACAUAAUCUUAACGAUGGAUGUCUUGGUUCCUACAGCGAUGAAGGCCGCAAUUAAAUGCGAUAUUCUGUAUGUAUUAUAUACAACAUUUGAAUAAAUGCUGAAUGUAGAAUUACAAU